AACCAUUAGGGAGACUGACAAAAACCUCCGGGAACCUCCGGGAACCGCACUUAGGAAACCUGAAUGGAAACCUCUGGAGACGUUGCGCCCCACCCAAGGUUGCCGAUUGGUCGAAGCCAGUGGAGUGGGGUUGCUAUUUACUUACAGGCAGUCGAAGGCAAUCUCCUUCGCUGACCGGCUACUUUGAUUGGCUCGUUGGAGUUUUCAGCAAAGAUCCUGUAGGAUCUUUGGUUUACAAGACCGAGAAGAUCCGCCGGAAGGAGGUUACUGGACACAAACUGGCUGAUGAAUUCCCUACAUUACAAUGGUGGCUCUGCUGCAGUAAUCCUUUGUUGGCUGUAUUGUAAAACAUUUGGAGAUGAUCUGAAGUCAAGAAAGGCGUCAUAGAAAGGCAAAUGUCAGAACCGAGCUUUGAACAAAGUUACAUUUCCCAGAGGUAUGAAGAACCUGUAGCACAUCCGAAGAUCUGUUGAAGUUAGGUAUACGAGGCCUAAUGCAGAUCGGGUGGACAAUCAGCAAGAGUACAGCCUACCUGAUGGAAAUCAAGUCAAACAUAAGGAAACAUGGACAAAGAAGCUUAAGAGAGACAAGUGUGUAUUGAUUGAACCUGUCUAAAUAAUGCAACAGGUCAUUUAAUUUUAGUGAAUGCAAAUGUUCAAUAUGAAAAUAGCAUUUUUGAAAUCAUUUUCCAAUGUGAAUGUGAAUUAUUCCAAAAGGGGAACCAGGAUGUAUUAGUGAAGUAAUUUCAUUGUUGGUUAACUUGCCUGCUUUUGUUUUAUACACUUAACUGUUUUUGAAAUAUAUUAUUAGGCAUGUUUGAAACGUGGCAGUUCAUUAAGAAUUAUUAAUGAAGGAUAGGGGUUGUUUGCUGACAGUUUUAUUACUGCCCUUCAUUAAUGUCAGCAAUGAUACUCGUCAAGAAAAAUCAUUUUCUAGGAACUUUCAAUGUAUCAUGAAAUUGCAAGUGAAAUUGUAUGCUUUUUAUACAAACAACCAUAAUUACAAAAUUGGCAAGGUUUGUACAUUAUUUCACUCCACCAAUUUUUGUUAACACCCUCAUUACAGAAAGGAAACCUGUAAUAAGGCUCCCAAUUCAAACUUAUGUGGCAGAUAUAUGUAUCAUUAAAGUAGUGGUUUGAAUGCUGCUCCAUUAAUUGUUGAUCUUCUUUGCUCUAUAUUAUUUGUACAUGCAUUCCACACAAAAAGAGAUGACUUGGUAAAUUAGUCAGGUUGGUUGCUUGCAUACUGGUUAUUUAACUUAAUUGGAAGUCAAAUGUUUCAAAGGUUUCAAAGGCCUUUUAUUGUCACAUGUACCAAUUACGGUACAGUGGUAUGUACAGUGGUAUUACCAUACAGCCAUACUAAAAAAAGGGAACAAGACACACAACUACAUAAAAGUUAACA
Leucoraja erinaceus (little skate) is the source of this 1404-nucleotide long non-coding RNA. RefSeq lists it as uncharacterized. The transcript is spliced from 3 exons. The record is from RefSeq and is a predicted model, not a curated record. Lineage: Eukaryota; Metazoa; Chordata; Chondrichthyes; Rajiformes; Rajidae.